This is a non-coding RNA of Odocoileus virginianus texanus, 2990 nucleotides long. NCBI's taxonomy places the organism in Eukaryota, Metazoa, Chordata, Mammalia, Artiodactyla, Cervidae. The record is from RefSeq and is a predicted model, not a curated record.
CCCGGCGCAGCCGCCGCCGCCGCAGUUCCCCCAGUUCCACGUCAGGUCGAGCCUGCAGAUCAAGAAGAAUGCAAUCAUCGACGACUACAAGGUCACCACGCAGGUCCUGGGGCUGGGCAUCAACGGCAAAGUUCUGCAGAUCUUCAGCAAGAGGACGCAGGAGAAAUUCGCCCUGAAAAGCUCCUCCGUUUCCUGUUGCGCUGUGGAGAUGACCCUCCUGCCCUUUGGAGACCUUUAGCUGAGGGAGGGACAGGUGUGGAGCUUGCCAGCUCCCCCACAGUUCCUGGCGUCUUCGAGUCAGCGCCGGACGCACAGAGACACCUGGAUGCAGUCCGAGGCGGUCUCCUGUCUCCUGGCCUCGCCCUGUGUGUUGCAAGGGGACCAGCAUUGGGCACCAUGCUGCCGGGACUGGGGUUAGAGGUUUGAACCUCAGGGAACCCCUGAGCUCCAGGCAAGCAGAAAAGCGCCCGCCUGGCCUCUGCGGCACCCACCUGGCCGUGUGGGUCUCGGCAAGUUCUUCAGCCUGUCGGGGCCUCGCUUAGCUUCUUCAUAGUAAAUCCAGGCUCUCCUGUCCUGGGGGUCUCUCUUCGUCACUGCUGCUGACGCCCCUCUGCUGGGAAAGAGGUGGUCAGCCCAGGCUCCAGGGAUUGGGAGCCACCCUCUCCGCCCUCACGCUCUGCAGGCCAGUGUUCUUUCAUCCCUCCCCGGGCUGUAGUAGUUAUAUUCAUCAGCCGUUCUGCUUAUGUUUGUAAAUGUGCCUGCCUCCUGUCUUCCCUGCUGAGUGGCCAUUAGGAGGCCCAGAUGGCAGGAUUAGCCUGGAGGGGCCACCACUCUGGGUCAUCCUCUUGGGUUUAGACUCCUUUAAUACCUCUGCUAUGUGAGAAGAGAGGGGUUUAGAACAAGGAGGGUUGAUUCUUUUUUAGCAACUUAGACUGGACCCCUUCCUUUCUAAGUGGAAUUUGCCCCAGGGUACCUUCUAGCCCUCUGAGAUCCAAAGCAACUCACUACUCAAGAAAAUGAGCACUGCCACGGAUGACUUUUGCCAUCCUGCUAAGGAUAGAUCAGAACAGAAGAAUGAGUGAUACAUACAACAGUAUUCUGUCUCCUUCAGAUCACUGUCCAAAGCUUAGCAACACUGUGAAGGUUUUCCAGAUUAAUAGCAAGUCUUUAUGGAGCAGAUAUUAUAUAUCAGGCAUUGUAUUAAGUGUUUCACUUACAUUCUGGUUAAUCCUUAAUAUUGCAAAGUAGGAGUCCCCGUUUUAUAGAAGAGGAAACAUGUUCAGAAUCAUUCAGUCCCUAGCAGUUCUUUAUUGAGCACUUACUAAGUGCUAAUGUUACUUCAGGCUCUAGGGAUACCUAAGUGUACCAAAAAGACCAAAGGGAAAGAAAGAAACAAAAUCCUGCUUGUGUGGAGCUUGCAUUCUGGCAUGGGGAGACAGACAAAAUACAGUGAGAUAAAUGACACAGCUUGUCAGAUGGCAGUAAGGAGAAAAUAAAGGAGGGGAGGAGACCCUGGAAUGCUGGGAAUGUGUGUGUGGUGUUGAAAUUUCAAAUAGGGGCUCAGAGAAGGCUUCACUGCAAAAGUGACAUUUGAGUGAGCCCUAGAAAUAUUUGGGGGAGAGGAAGACAGAAGGAAUACAAGUGUGGAGCCCUUAGGCUACUAAUGCUGAGUGUGUCUGGCUUUCAGACCUGGCUCCGUAGAGCUUCCAGUACUGCCUUGACAGUUCUGCUCUGACUCCACGGAGAUUCAGUACUUAGUUGAUUCAGCUUUGUUUCUUCAUCAAAUAUUUACGGAAUGCUUAUUGCGUGCAAACUGCUACAGUGAUCAGACGGGGGCCCUGCCUUUGGGAACUUAGAGUCUAGAGGAAGAGCGGACGCCUACGUGUAUAAAGGCGUGCGAAUAGCCUGACCCCGCACUCUACUGUGCCCGUUCACAGGUAUUUCCUCUCGAUGCUCUCCAACAGAAGCAGUGCCUCCAGGUGGUGCGAUUCCAGGUUUUACACAGAAGAGGUUCAGGGAGCUGGCUGGGGGGAAAGUGGAGGUGCUUGGGAUCACGCUGGCCGGCCAUCCAUGGAGCUGGGAGGACAGGGUGAUGAGAACGGGCUGCGGUCCUCUGGGCCCUCACAGGGCUCCUCCCUUCCCCGGAGGAGUCACAUCCUUCCUGCGGGGGCCUCCAGGUGGACCGGGGUGCCGGGAGGCUCUCUGUGCCCUUGGUCUGGCCGCCUUGCCUCCUGCCUCUCGGGCGCUGGGUGAGCGGAAGUCCGGGCCCGGGAUGGAACGGGCCGUUGGUGCGGAUGGGAAAGUGAAGCAAUGGUCUCGGUUGCUUCUUUCUGAGCAUGUGCUGUGACAAAGGAAGUUGCAACAUUUUUUUUUUCCUUUCUUUCUUUCUUUUUAUAGAACAAGAAGGGGAAAAAAAACAGUCUUCCAGUAAACUUCAGAAAAAUAUCUAGCCUUUGCUGGAUGGUUCUCCCCUCCCCCACAGUGCUUUUUUAGUAUGUGGUCUUUCUCCCAUCCUGCCUCCUCCCUCUAUCCCUGCCGGCCUCCCUCUUCUCUGAGGGCCCAUGUCCCUGAAGCAGGAUAAGUACCUCUCCCAAGAGGAGACAGUCAGCAACUUGGUCUGCGGGAGCCUUGAGGGAGCGUCAUGUCCAUUGUCCUCUCCACAUGCUGGGAAUUAUUUAAAUACGACAGGUGUUUGCAGACGCCCACUUGGCCUCUCUCAGUGCGGCUGUGGUCUGUGUUCACUUGGUGCCCCAGAAGGUUGAGGUGGUACCUGUUUCUUGGCUCAGAUAACCACCCGCUUUGAUAGAGUGUAUGUCCAGUCAGAUGCUGGGGAAAGAGGCCCAAACGUGGGAGCAAGAAGCAAGCUGAAAGACCGCACCUGUGAAGCUGGAGUCCUUGGUCAGGUUGAAUCUGGCCUUUGUGCUGUGCCUGGGUGGGGCUUUCCAGGUGGGUCAGUUGUAAAGAAUCUGCCUGCCAAUGCCGAAGUUGCA